UGGCUCAGAACGAACGCUGGCGGCAGGCUUAACACAUGCAAGUCGAGCGGGCGUAGCAAUACGUCAGCGGCAGACGGGUGAGUAACGCGUGGGAACGUACCUUUUGGCUCGGAACAACACAGGGAAACUUGUGCUAAUACCGGAUAAGCCCUUACGGGGAAAGAUUUAUCGCCGAAAGAUCGGCCCGCGUCUGAUUAGCUAGUUGGUGAGGUAAUGGCUCAGCAAGGCGACGAUCAGUAGCUGGUCUGAGAGGAUGAUCAGCCACAUUGGGACUGAGACACGGACCAAACUCCUACGGGAUUCCGCAGUGG
This 311-nucleotide ribosomal RNA is filed under the name uncultured Bradyrhizobiaceae bacterium. RNAcentral's name for it is "bacterial SSU rRNA". It matches the Rfam family "Bacterial small subunit ribosomal RNA", at positions 20 to 357 of the family's 1533-position model. The record is from RNAcentral. Lineage: Bacteria; Pseudomonadati; Pseudomonadota; Alphaproteobacteria; Hyphomicrobiales; Nitrobacteraceae.